UUUUGGCGCUUCAGGAAAACCCAAAAGCCAGAGAAGAGCACGGAGGUGGUCACCACUGCGUGUGAACAAAAAGGUGGAGACAAGAGAAUGGUGGUAAUCUGCGCAGGCAACUGGAGGAUGACCUGAGUGCAUCUCGCCAGGGAACGGUCCCCGUUCCAUAGAACCCCUGAAGAUGCCAGGCUCUUAUAUUUAGAGGGGGGGCCGGAGGCGUCUGUGGGGUCACCACAUACAUCACUCCUGGAGGUGUUGUUCACAUUGUGUUCUUUGUAAAGAGUGUCCCUGGUGAGGUUCAACAUCUCCCUCUGCAAGACCCAGCCUUGCCCUCCCAACCCGCCAAGGUUCUGGUCUGGCACCUGUGAAGACCGUGACCUGGAGGCCUCAGCCUGAGACUCAGAGGGGAUGGAGCUUGUGCAGCGUCUGGCAGCUUAAAUGAGACACGAGGCCAAGGAAGGAGGACCGCCUCUCUGCUCCGCCUCCGCUCCUGAGUCAGCUAGUGAGUGCCGGUUACUUCCUGUCGGAGCUGUACAGAGUUAGCAUAAAUUUUAGAUACAUGUCUUACUUUUAACAGUGAAAGGCUGUUACAUCAAGCAAAAUUGAUCUCCUCCUCGGUUUUUUUUUUUAAACACUUCUAUGUAAAAUAACACACAAGUAUAGAAAAGCACCCUCCGCAAAGGGAGGGCUCAGUGAAUUACAAUGGGCGCUCCACUCUGGGGAGCAAUAGUUUUUCCCUCUGUGAAAGCCCAGAUGCUUCUGAGAAGCUCCUCUCAGCUUCCUUACUCUGGCCCGACCUCCACAGCGGAAAUCCCAAAGGGACUGGAUUCUCCCAGCCCUCCAGCGCCCUCCACUACUUUCUGAUUGUGCUGCCACACUCAUUUUGAGUUAUUUGUGUGUAAAUCACUGCACUUGGAAUAUACAUGGAGUAACUGAUUUCAUUCUU
Molecule: non-coding RNA, 937 nt
Organism: Delphinapterus leucas (beluga whale)
Lineage: Eukaryota; Metazoa; Chordata; Mammalia; Artiodactyla; Monodontidae
Source: RefSeq, a predicted model, not a curated record